RNAcentral lists this ribosomal RNA (1116 nucleotides) under uncultured organism. RNAcentral describes it as "bacterial SSU rRNA". It matches the Rfam family "Bacterial small subunit ribosomal RNA", at positions 211 to 1309 of the family's 1533-position model. The record is from RNAcentral.
GUUGUCGGUUUGGGAUCGGCCCGCGUCAUAUCAGCUUGUUGGUAAGGUAACGGCUUACCAAGGCUAAGACGUGUAGCUGGUCUGAGAGGAUGAUCAGCCACAUCGGGACUGAGACACUGCCCGGACCUCCACGGAGGGCUGCAGCAACGAAUCAUCCGCAAUGCGCGAAAGCGUGACGGUGCGACGCCGCGUGCGGGACGAAGCCCCUAGGGGUGUAAACCGCUGUCAGGGGAAACCACACCGAUAGGGCAAAUAGUCCUUGAGGUAGAGGGAACCCAGAGGAAGCCACGGCUAACUCUGUGCCAGCAGCCGCGGUAAGACAGAGGUGGCUAGCGUUGCUCGGAAUCACUGGGCUUAAAGGGUGCGUAGGCGGCUUAUCAAGCAUUAUGUGAAAGCCCUCGGCUCAACUGAGGAAUUGCAUAAUGAACUGGUAAGCUUGAGGUGCGUCGGGGCCGGAAGAACUCUGGGUGGAGCGGUGAUAUGCGUAGAUAUCCAGGGGAAUGCCAGUGGCGAAGGCGUCCGGCUAGGCGCAAUCUGACGCUAAGGCACGAAAGCGUGGGUAGCGAACGGGAUUAGAUACCCCGGUAGUCCACGCUGUAAACGUUGUGCACUGGUUUCGGGAACCUCUGACGGUUUCCGGAGCGUAGAAAAAUCGUUAAGUGCACCGCCUGGGGACUACGGCCGCAAGGCUAAAACUCAAAGGAAUUGACGGGGGCUCACACAAGCGGUGGAGCAUGUGGCUUAAUUCGAGGCAACGCGAAGAACCUUACCUGGGUUUGACAUGUACGGAUGCCCCCCUGGAAACAGGGUGUGGUUGCCCUCGUGGUGAAACGUACACAGGUGCUGCAUGGCUGUCGUCAGCUCGUGCCGUGAGGUGUUGGGUUAAGUCCCGUAACGAGCGAAACCCCUAUCUUUAGUUGCCAGUUCCGAUUUAUCGGAAGGCACUCUAACGAGACUGCCGGCGUCAAGCCGGAGGAAGGUGGGGACGACGUCAAGUCAUCAUGGCCUUUAUACCCAGGGAUGCACACGUGCUACAAUGCCAGGUACAAAGUGACGCGAAGCCGCGAGGUGGAGCAAAUCGCAAAAAACCUGGCCCAGUUCAGAUUGCAGUCUGCA